UCCUACGGGAGGCAGCAGCAAGGAAUAUUGUGCAAUGGGCGAAAGCCUGACACAGCGACGCCGCGUGGGGGAAGAAGGCCUUCGGGUUGUAAACCCCUUUUCUUAGGGAAGAUAAUGACGGUACCUGAGGAAUAAGUCACGGCUAACUACGUGCCAGCAGCCGCGGUAAUACGUAGGUGGCAAGCGUUAUCCGGAUUUACUGGGCGUAAAGAGUGCGUAGGCGGUUCUUCAAGUCGGAUGUGAAAUCUCCCGGCUUAACCGGGAGGGGUCAUUCGAAACUGUUGGACUAGAGGACAGCAGGGGGAGGUGGAAUUCCCGGUGUAGUGGUGAAAUGCGUAGAUAUCGGGAGGAACACCAGUGGCGAAGGCGGCCUCCUGGGCUGUUUCUGACGCUGAGGCUCGAAAGUGUGGGGAGCGAACAGGAUUAGAUACCCUGGUAGUCCACACUGUAAACAAUGGACACUAGGUAUGGGGAGUAUCGACCCUUUCUGUGCCGAAGCUAACGCUUUAAGUGUCCCGC
This 519-nucleotide ribosomal RNA is filed under the name uncultured bacterium. RNAcentral's name for it is "bacterial SSU rRNA". It matches the Rfam family "Bacterial small subunit ribosomal RNA", at positions 337 to 872 of the family's 1533-position model. The record is from RNAcentral.